This 802-nucleotide unclassified non-coding RNA is filed under the name Hevea brasiliensis (rubber tree). Lineage: Eukaryota; Viridiplantae; Streptophyta; Magnoliopsida; Malpighiales; Euphorbiaceae. The record is from RNAcentral.
CCCCCCCCCCCCCCCCCCCCUCCUUAAAUUAUUGUUAUUCAACAACAACACUGUAUAAAUAAAUGAUUUGUGGGUGUAGCGGUUGUUGAAAUUCAUCUUGGCAAUAUCAAAACCUUGCAAAUUGAAUUUAGUAAACUCCGGAAAUAGGGGCAUGGCAUUUCCUGACAUUGGGGUUGGGCAUGUUUAUGUAUGUUUGUCUUUCCUUGCUUUUGCGACUUUUGGUUCCUACUUCUGAUCAUUUGUUAUUGGAAAGGAUACAUUCGUUUUCAGCCAGAAUUCUCUUAUUUAAACUUAGUUAUGAGUGGAUCCAUGGAUGACACCUUGCCUGAGUAAAAAUUUUUUAAAGUCCUUGAAACAUUGACAUGGGAAGUUCGUGAAUUUUUCCAAAAAGAGAGACAGAAUUACAGAAAAGAGUAAGGGAUUACACCAUUGAAAAUUGUUGGGCUUAAUAGUGCUUUGAGAGAAACCUCAAAAUUAAUAAUGUUUUGAGGUUUGGCAAAGCAAUUGAAGUUGGCAAGAAAAUUGAGGAAAUGAGUUGGCCAAGAAUUCAAUACUCAUUGUCGUUCCCCCUAGCUAAGUUCAUAUUUAUCUUGAUCUGGAGUGAAAUGAUUCAUGUCAGAUGAAUUGAUCCCACUUCCUUCCUGCAUCAGUUAUUUCAUUGUCAUGGAUCUGUCCUGCUUCCAUGUCUUGUUAAUAUCAAUAGUUUGGAACAAAAAUUAUUAAGUAGGACUAUUGUAUGGUUCCUCUCAUACACAUAAUUAGCAAUGCUAGUCUUGGAUCUGGACAUUGGCUGGUUUUGAAG